This 2922-nucleotide ribosomal RNA is filed under the name Klebsiella pneumoniae. RNAcentral's name for it is "23S ribosomal RNA". It matches the Rfam family "Bacterial large subunit ribosomal RNA". Lineage: Bacteria; Pseudomonadati; Pseudomonadota; Gammaproteobacteria; Enterobacterales; Enterobacteriaceae. The record is from RNAcentral.
GGGUUGUGAGGUUAAGCGACUAAGCGUACACGGUGGAUGCCCUGGCAGUCAGAGGCGAUGAAGGACGUGCUAAUCUGCGAAAAGCGUCGGUAAGGUGAUAUGAACCGUUAUAACCGGCGAUGUCCGAAUGGGGAAACCCAGUGCAAUUCGUUGCACUAUCGUUAACUGAAUACAUAGGUUAACGAGGCGAACCGGGGGAACUGAAACAUCUAAGUACCCCGAGGAAAAGAAAUCAACCGAGAUUCCCCCAGUAGCGGCGAGCGAACGGGGAGCAGCCCAGAGUCUGAAUCAGCUUGUGUGUUAGUGGAACGGUCUGGAAAGUCCGACGGUACAGGGUGAUAGUCCCGUACACCAAAAUGCACAGGUUGUGAACUCGAAGAGUAGGGCGGGACACGUGGUAUCCUGUCUGAAUAUGGGGGGACCAUCCUCCAAGGCUAAAUACUCCUGACUGACCGAUAGUGAACCAGUACCGUGAGGGAAAGGCGAAAAGAACCCCGGCGAGGGGAGUGAAAAAGAACCUGAAACCGUGUACGUACAAGCAGUGGGAGCACCUUCGGGUGUGACUGCGUACCUUUUGUAUAAUGGGUCAGCGACUUAUAUUCUGUAGCAAGGUUAACCGUAUAGGGGAGCCGCAGGGAAACCGAGUCUUAACUGGGCGUUAAGUUGCAGGGUAUAGACCCGAAACCCGGUGAUCUAGCCAUGGGCAGGUUGAAGGUUGGGUAACACUAACUGGAGGACCGAACCGACUAAUGUUGAAAAAUUAGCGGAUGACUUGUGGCUGGGGGUGAAAGGCCAAUCAAACCGGGAGAUAGCUGGUUCUCCCCGAAAGCUAUUUAGGUAGCGCCUCGUGAAUUCAUCUUCGGGGGUAGAGCACUGUUUCGGCUAGGGGGUCAUCCCGACUUACCAACCCGAUGCAAACUACGAAUACCGAAGAAUGUUAUCACGGGAGACACACGGCGGGUGCUAACGUCCGUCGUGAAGAGGGAAACAACCCAGACCGCCAGCUAAGGUCCCAAAGUCAUGGUUAAGUGGGAAACGAUGUGGGAAGGCACAGACAGCCAGGAUGUUGGCUUAGAAGCAGCCAUCAUUUAAAGAAAGCGUAAUAGCUCACUGGUCGAGUCGGCCUGCGCGGAAGAUGUAACGGGGCUAAACCAUGCACCGAAGCUGCGGCAGCGACACUAUGUGUUGUUGGGUAGGGGAGCGUUCUGUAAGCCUGCGAAGGUGACCUGUGAGGGUUGCUGGAGGUAUCAGAAGUGCGAAUGCUGACAUAAGUAACGAUAAAGCGGGUGAAAAGCCCGCUCGCCGGAAGACCAAGGGUUCCUGUCCAACGUUAAUCGGGGCAGGGUGAGUCGACCCCUAAGGCGAGGCCGAAAGGCGUAGUCGAUGGGAAACAGGUUAAUAUUCCUGUACUUGGUGUUACUGCGAAGGGGGACGGAGAAGGCUAUGUUAGCCGGGCGACGGUUGUCCCGGUUUAAGCAUGUAGGCUGGUUGUCCAGGCAAAUCCGGAUAAUCAAGGCUGAGGUGUGAUGACGAGGCACUACGGUGCUGAAGUAACAAAUGCCCUGCUUCCAGGAAAAGCCUCUAAGCAUCAGGUAACAUCAAAUCGUACCCCAAACCGACACAGGUGGUCAGGUAGAGAAUACCAAGGCGCUUGAGAGAACUCGGGUGAAGGAACUAGGCAAAAUGGUGCCGUAACUUCGGGAGAAGGCACGCUGGUGUGUAGGUGAAGUCCCUGCGGAUGGAGCUGAGACCAGUCGAAGAUACCAGCUGGCUGCAACUGUUUAUUAAAAACACAGCACUGUGCAAACACGAAAGUGGACGUAUACGGUGUGACGCCUGCCCGGUGCCGGAAGGUUAAUUGAUGGGGUUAUCCGUAAGGAGAAGCUCUUGAUCGAAGCCCCGGUAAACGGCGGCCGUAACUAUAACGGUCCUAAGGUAGCGAAAUUCCUUGUCGGGUAAGUUCCGACCUGCACGAAUGGCGUAAUGAUGGCCAGGCUGUCUCCACCCGAGACUCAGUGAAAUUGAACUCGCUGUGAAGAUGCAGUGUACCCGCGGCAAGACGGAAAGACCCCGUGAACCUUUACUAUAGCUUGACACUGAACAUUGAGCCUUGAUGUGUAGGAUAGGUGGGAGGCUUUGAAGCGUGGACGCCAGUCUGCGUGGAGCCAACCUUGAAAUACCACCCUUUAAUGUUUGAUGUUCUAACGUUGGCCCCUUAUCGGGGUUGCGGACAGUGUCUGGUGGGUAGUUUGACUGGGGCGGUCUCCUCCCAAAGCGUAACGGAGGAGCACGAAGGUUAGCUAAUCCUGGUCGGACAUCAGGAGGUUAGUGCAAUGGCAUAAGCUAGCUUGACUGCGAGCGUGACGGCGCGAGCAGGUGCGAAAGCAGGUCAUAGUGAUCCGGUGGUUCUGAAUGGAAGGGCCAUCGCUCAACGGAUAAAAGGUACUCCGGGGAUAACAGGCUGAUACCGCCCAAGAGUUCAUAUCGACGGCGGUGUUUGGCACCUCGAUGUCGGCUCAUCACAUCCUGGGGCUGAAGUAGGUCCCAAGGGUAUGGCUGUUCGCCAUUUAAAGUGGUACGCGAGCUGGGUUUAGAACGUCGUGAGACAGUUCGGUCCCUAUCUGCCGUGGGCGCUGGAGAAUUGAGGGGGGCUGCUCCUAGUACGAGAGGACCGGAGUGGACGCAUCACUGGUGUUCGGGUUGUCAUGCCAAUGGCACUGCCCGGUAGCUAAAUGCGGAAGAGAUAAGUGCUGAAAGCAUCUAAGCACGAAACUUGCCCCGAGAUGAGUUCUCCCUGAGACUUUAAGUCUCCUGAAGGAACGUUAAAGACGAUGACGUUGAUAGGCCGGGUGUGUAAGCGCAGCGAUGCGUUGAGCUAACCGGUACUAAUGAACCGUGAGGCUUAACCUUACAACGCCGAAG